This 333-nucleotide long non-coding RNA is filed under the name Ananas comosus (pineapple). RNAcentral describes it as "long non-coding RNA (ACOM_LNC043209)". The record is from RNAcentral. Lineage: Eukaryota; Viridiplantae; Streptophyta; Magnoliopsida; Poales; Bromeliaceae.
AAAACUAUGAAGUUAUGGUGUACGUUGCUCUGGAAAGCCAUUUGAAUUGUCCCGGUGAAGUUCGGUGAAGUUCUGGAGCAAUCGGGCGUUUCGAUGCGCAUAGGCGCAAAAACGGAACCCGAAAGGCUAACUUGGGCCAUGAGCUAAAUCCGACAUUAGCGAGGAUGGAAAGAUGAUGAAAACAUGUUUGAAAAUAUGUUUGGAGAGUCUCGGUUCGAUUUUAAAUGAAUCGGAGGUCAAACGAACGAAAACGGGCGAAAACGGAGUGAAAACGGACGAAGCUGAAAAUUGGCUAAGUCAGGGCUGGAGGUCUCUCUGGGACCGGUCCUAGGC